RNAcentral lists this unclassified non-coding RNA (391 nucleotides) under soil metagenome. Its description in RNAcentral is "partial contains 5.8S ribosomal RNA, internal transcribed spacer 2, and large subunit ribosomal RNA". The stretch from base 1 to 122 matches the Rfam family "5.8S ribosomal RNA", at positions 35 to 154 of the family's 154-position model. The record is from RNAcentral.
GAUGAAGAACGCAGCGAAAUGCGAUACUUGGUGUGAAUUGCAGAAUCCCGUGAACCAUCGAGUCUUUGAACGCAAGUUGCGCCCGAAGCCACUAGGCCGAGGGCACGCCUGCCUGGGCGUCACACGCCGUUGCCCCCCCAUCUACUCCUUCGGGAUUGCGGGGGGGCGGAUGAUGACCUCCUGUGCGCCUAGCCGCGCGGUUGGCAUAAAUACCAAGUCCUCGGCGACGCACGCCACGACAAUCGGUGGUUGCGAAACCUCGGUUGCCCGUCGUGUGCGUUCGUCGCGCAUCGAGGGCUCGAAAAAAUGCUCGGCUCCGGCUGGGCUUUCAACGCGACCCCAGGUCAGGCGGGGUUACCCGCUGAAUUUAAGCAUAUCAAUAAGCGGAGGA